RNAcentral lists this long non-coding RNA (4745 nucleotides) under Elaeis guineensis (African oil palm). RNAcentral describes it as "long non-coding RNA (EGUI_LNC016025)". Lineage: Eukaryota; Viridiplantae; Streptophyta; Magnoliopsida; Arecales; Arecaceae. The record is from RNAcentral.
UCCUGCAAUAUAAGAACCACCAUAAAUCACCUUUUGUGAUAUAAAAUUGCAAAAUGAGAAUAAGAACUAAACCAAUUAGAGAAAAACUAAGCUAGACAUGUUUUCUUUUUUUUCCCUUUCAAAUGGCAUAUAGCAAUGGACACGAGGAAAGAAAAUGCAAAUAUCUGUGCCUCAAAUGAAUUUGAUGCACCGAGAAUAUUUAAAGAACUAUGCAGCUACAUGCAGGUUCUACAAAGCACAAAGCACUGGUAGCAGUUUCGGUAAUAUAUGCGCAGCAUUAUUUCAUUUUGAUCAAUGGUAAUAUAAACUGGAUUUUUUAAGUUUUAGCAGAAAAGGAAACUGGAUUUCAAGUAAAUGUGAGAAACAGAAGGAAUCAUUAGUAAGACAUUUACGUAAAAAAGCACUAACAAAGACUGAGGUCUUCCAAUAAAGCAACAAGAUGGAAAGAAACUAGAGAGAAAUUUAGUCAAUGCAAUAGGCACCCAAGUACAACAAAGCGUCAGGUUAAAACAACAACAGCCAUUUUCUCUAGACAGAGGAGAGAUAAUGAAAACAGAUGCAUCUAAUCUUAAGUGGUGUAAAAUUAACAACAACGAAAAUCAACUACAACAAUAAAUGAUUGACGGGAAGAAGGAAUACAUCUUGACUGGUAUAUCCACAUGAUUCUUACAAGUAAUAGCAAACCAGAUAGACUAUGAGUCUUGUUUUUGGAACUGUAACGCCAAAGUGAUUACUGGAUAUAAAUUUCAUUUUUUACUGCAAAAAUUUAAGGAGAUCGAAAUGAAUCUGAUUGUAAAUCAAUAUAUCUCAAUUGAACACUCCAAAAGAGCACAAAUAAUUGACAGUAGGGCGUUUCCUUGACUAAGCUACUUCUUAUGGACAAGACUGAAUCUGCCACGGCUGCUAGUCUGAAAUAUUGUCUUCACCUCAGAAAUGAGUCUGCAGGAAGGAGAGUUGGCCUUCACACCAACAUAAGCACCAGAACUGGCAGGCCAUACAGCAAUAGUGACUACUUUCAAUACAGCUUCAUUGAGUUAGAGCCCAUCACCCAUACAAAUACUAUAUAUCCCUCACCAACUGCAAACUCAUAGCCUAACAGACAAUACAAAGAUGACUCCCUGCUCAUAUGUUAGUAAUGAUACUUGUGAAGAAUAACCAUAAGGUGUAAUUCAGCCCUUGUAACCUGCAUGUUCAUGUAAGGAGCAGCAAUAUUAAGGUAAGAUGACAAUUAACGCCAAACUGCAUUUAUUAGAACCUAUACCCAUUGACUUUCAUCCUUUGCAGCCAAGCAGGAUGUGCAAUGGAAGGAUCACAUAUGGCCUCGAUUGCUACAUGGUCUAUUUCUGGAUCAUGACAAAUUUUCUCAAGUAAAGUGACCAUCCAGAUCAACAAAGAGUAUAGCUAAUGUGCAAUGGAUAACCUAUUUGCUUUCUUCUUCAUAAAGAUUUAAUAGCUAGGAGAAAAAAUCAGAAAUAUGGAUGUUCCAUUAUUGAAAAUCACCAAAGAAGGACUAUUGAAUUACUAGUAAGCCAAAAACCAAGUAACACAAAUGUAAAUUGCCUAAACUUGUAGAAACCCCAAAUUUAAAGCAUCUAGGAAAGUAGAGGACGCAACAAGCAUGAGUAUGCUGCAACAAGAACGAACAUAGCAAUAUAAAAAAUCCAUGUUGUGAUUUCACAAACUAAUAAAGGACACAUAACUAUUUCCUGAACAACAAAGUUUUCACUAAGGCUAUGUUUGUCACAUGAAUUUCCACUUAUUCUCUCUUGAUGACAAGCGAUAUACAUAUUUGGUCAUUAUACAAGCACUGUUUGUCAGAUGCUAGAAAGAAUAUUAUGAGAGAGAGAGAGAGAGAGAGAGGGAGGGAGGGAGGAUCUAUCCAACAUUGUAGGAACAGCUGCUUGCCAGAGUACAAGUAUGGUACAAGAAUGAGGAAGCCCAUUUUUUCAGGAGGGUAGAUAAUGCAUUUAGGGAAAAGAAAAGGUGAAUUGCAUGAAAGUAAAAUUAUUAUGUAGCUUUCAACCCUGAUGGUAUACAAAUGCAAGCUACAACCCUACAGUGCCUUGUUAAACGAAGCUCUACAUAGUAUUUAAAUUUCAGAAACUCAGUGAUUCGCAAUGCAAGAGUUGUUGUUAUGAUGUAGGACCACAUGAUGUCUCUGUACUAAACAGCCUAAUAUUAGUUUCCUGAUGAAAACGCAAAUAAAUAUAUGCAUACAACAGAUUAAAACCCAAGCAGGGCAUAUUACUUUACUAUUCAAACAAAAAGAAGAAGAAGAAGAAGAAACACGUGGGAACGUAACGGAGAAGAAGGAAAAAACCAAACAAAAAGUUCUGCACAGAUAAAUGAGGAGCUGCAUAUGCCAAUUGAGAUAUAAUUAUUGACUCAUUUUUAACUACAGUUUUUGAGAAGCAGGAAUUAGGAUUACAUCUUCAGAUGCCAUGUUGAAGAACAUAGUGUGUUAAUGGCACUGCUACAAGGACUCAACAAAAAACAAAAACAAAACAAAAACAAAACAAAACAAAAAAAAUCCAGAGAACAAUACAGGAUCAAGGGGAACAAAUCAAAAGAACAUCCCUCAACACCGUGGAAGUUACGCAAAAUUCGCCAAAACUUAACUCACUAGAUCCAUUGAAACUUAGAGCAUUCAUAGACGAAGAACAGAAAAUUCAGACCAAGAAAUGCCCAGCAUAAAAGAAAAGCCAUCUAAGGAAGGACGAGAAACUUCUAAACAAAUGAUCAAUAGAAAAGAAAAAACUUUAGCAAACAAAACUAGGAAAAGUAUUUUGAUUCUUGAAUGCCCGACCUAUCUAUCAAGAGAGGGAUUCACCCCGAAGAGUCAUUUCCUGUAGUGCAAGCUAAAAUUCUAGCAUAUAUUACUAAAAUAGUAUCAAGACAGAUAUAUCUGGAACAAAGAAAGUUAUGCCAACAAUUGGGAUUUCCAGUACUUGGGGUUUCAACCCAUUCUUGAGCUCAUUCUCAACAAAUCGAGAUACAGGCUUAAACAGAUCAUCCAAAAGUGCGAAAAUCUAUAUCGAUUUUCUAUGGAUUGAAGAAUCUUUGACAGUCAUUUGAUUACGAAAAGAAAUUGUAGGCAUAAACUCCAAAUAAGAAAGAAAAAAAUCAAUCCAAAUUUUGCCGAUAAAGAAAAUAAGGAUGGGGCGCAAGGGGGAGGCAAAGAUUUACCUCAAAUCUAUAGAGACGGAACCGACCCUUGGGGUUAGGGUUAGGUUUAGGUUUUGUCUUCCCUCUUCCUUCAAACCUUGACAGCUAAGAGAGAGCGAUAGCCAAAAAAUGAGAAAAAAUCUCUGAGUUGAAGCGACGGAGAUUGAUGCUCUAGAUUUUUCUUAUAUGCAUAUUUCCCUAUUUAAAGCCCCUAUAUAUCACAAAAAGAUUAAAGAAAUGGAGGAGUGGGAACCGAAUAAUCUUCAUCUUGCCCUAAUCCACGCGUACCUUAUCUCGGCCGUUAACUGUUCUGCCGUUUAAGCAAAGACGGUAGAUGUCGGGCCGGUCCGGCCUCUGAUUUAGAUAAGAUUAGAUUAGAUGUUCUCGGAUCGCCCAUGCUGCCACGAUGAUGCUAAUGGGCUGGACAAGAAAGCGGGCUGGUCCAAAUUAAUUUUAUGGCGCUUGGACGAGCUUUUUGUUGAUGCGUUCAGAAACCUGUACAGGCCUAGGUCCAGGUGGCUUCUCUAUUUUUCCUUUUUUUUUUUCCUCUCUUCUCCAGCCCCCUUCCUCGAUCCUUCCCUUCCAUUUGGAGGUUGAAAUAGCCAGAUAUAAAUGGGAUUUUUUUUUCUUUUAUUUUAAAGCCAUAAGUAGAUGGCAAUUGUGUAUCCUUAAUCAGCACAACUAGGAGACCCGUACCAUCCCGAUGCAUCCUUGAACUCAUGGCGCUCUUAAUUGUUUCCCCUGUUGAAAUCAUCGAUGGACUGAAGCCUUGGCCAAAAUUUAAUGCUUGUUUGUAUAACAUACAAGUGUAGAAAAAAUAUCUUAUAAAUAUGCAUAUAUAAAUAGGCUAGAAUAAUAUCGAUUGGAUUUAAACUCCGAUCCAAUCAAGUCAAAACUUUGUAAUAAGAAUUCUACAUCAAUGAUCUAAGUCGUUGGAUAUCUACUAUUUCAAGACUGUUUGCAUGCAAAAAAUUAUAUGAUUUAAAGACUCCUAACUUACACAUUAAGUGGUCAAAAAUUGAAUAGCCUAAAUAAAGUUAAAUUAAAUGUAUUGUUUGAUUACUUGGUACAUAAGUUAAGGAUCUUCAAAUUAUAUGAUUUUUUAUGUGCGCGCAGUUUGAAGAUUGUAAGUCAUAUCCGAUGGCUUAGAUCAUCGAUGUAAAAUUUUUAUUGUCCAAUUUUGAUUUGAUCAGAUCUAAGUCUAAAUCUGACUGAUCAUAUCCAAAUCUACCAUACAUACGUGCUGCAUGCUUCGAAGAUAUGGCAGAUAAUGACGGUCCGAUCAUAAUUCUUUCUAUGGCCGGAUACGUGCUUCGAAGAUAUGGCAGAUGAUGACAGUCCAACCAUAAUUCCUUCUAUGGUUAGUUUUAUCUACUUAUAUGCUGUAUCUCUUUUCUAUAUGAAAUUAUCCAGAACAACUUUUUUUUGGGGGGGGGGGGGGAGGGAGGGACGGCCAAGGCGGAUGUACGGUACAGCAGAUGCAGCUACAUGCAGGUUCUACAAAGCACAAAGCACUGGUAGCAGUUUCGGUAAUAUAUGCGCAGCAUUAUUUCAUUUUGAUCAAUGGUAAUAUAAACUGG